This is a long non-coding RNA of Camelina sativa (false flax), 906 nucleotides long. RefSeq lists it as uncharacterized. Lineage: Eukaryota; Viridiplantae; Streptophyta; Magnoliopsida; Brassicales; Brassicaceae. The record is from RefSeq and is a predicted model, not a curated record.
UAUUAAUACCAAUAUUUAUUCAAUACAAAGACUAUUUUUUCCAUGUAUUAUACACCAAAAAUGAGUAAAUUUUUUGCUAUUUCGUCGUUCUCGGCUUCUCUACGGUAUGCGUCUAUGGUCUCAGGCAAGAUCUGACAAAUAUUUUACGAUCUAGCUACGAUAUCGUUCUUUGUGGUCUCCAGCGAAAUCUAACAAAUCUGAUUUUAUGGUUUUCGACCUCUCUAUGGUCUUCGUCGUUGUUUUCUAUUAUCUCCGGCAAGAUCUGAUGAAGCUUUUGCGAUAUAGCUACAAUAUCAUUCGUCUUCGUCUCUUUUCGAUGUCGUCAAUUUUAGUUUUCUAUUUGAUCUCUUCUUCGUUACUCUUUUAUCUUAGUUAUCUUGAGAUUUACUAUUUGGAGAAGUGAAUCGAUUAUGCUCAAUCAAUUGUGUUUAUUUAGUCAUCGUGCUCUAUUGUUUCUAAGGAUAUAUGAUUGCUCCACCUAGCUUUGAUGUUGCCAAUAUCAGAUUUUUCCUUGCAAUUUCAGAUUCUUCUCAGUCGUAAAGAGAUGUUGCUUUGGAUUUGUAAGUUUGUGGAGAAUGGAAACACAAUGAUGAAGGAGGCUGGGAUUUUGCAAUUGUUUCGAGAAGAAGAAGUAGAUGAGAAUACACAUAUAAUGUUUUAGGUGAUAAGGGACCAAUGGAAAGUGAGUGCGAGGUUUUUGCAAAGAAUUAGAGAUUGUGUUCAGAAAUGGUAACAUGCUGAAGGAUAGGUACGCGUGUGCUCAAGGUUGUUUGUGAAGUUGUGGAAGGUGAUAUAACUCGGCUGGUUAUUCAGUUUCAUUAUGAACUUAGUAAUUUUGGUGCUUAGGGAAUUGCUUCAGCUUUAUAAAGUCAUCCUAAAUUUGUGAAGGUCAUCCUGAAUUUAUGA